Ribosomal RNA from Dermacentor albipictus, 1815 nucleotides. NCBI's taxonomy places the organism in Eukaryota, Metazoa, Arthropoda, Arachnida, Ixodida, Ixodidae. The record is from RefSeq and is a predicted model, not a curated record.
UACCUGGUUGAUCCUGCCAGUAAUCAUAUGCUUGUCUCAAAGAUUAAGCCAUGCAUGUCUAAGUACAUGCCGAAAUAAGGCGAAACCGCGAAUGGCUCAUUAAAUCAGUUAUGGUUCCUUAGAUCGUUUCUUCCUACUUGGAUAACUGUGGCAAUUCUAGAGCUAAUACAUGCAGUGAGCCUGAAGCCCUUUGGGCGACGGGUGCUUUUAUUAGACCAAGAUCGAUCGGGUUUCGGCCCGUAUUGUGUGGUGACUCUGGAUAACUUUGUGCUGAUCGCAUGGCCACGAGCCGGCGACGUUUCUUUCAAGUGUCUGCCUUAUCAACUUUCGAUGGUAGGUUACUUGCUUACCAUGGUUGUUACGGGUAACGGAGAAUCAGGGUUCGAUUCCGGAGAGGGAGCCUGAGAAACGGCUACCACAUCCAAGGAAGGCAGCAGGCGCGCAAAUUACCCACUCCCGGCACGGGGAGGUAGUGACGAAAAAUAACAAUAGGGGACUCUUUUGAGGCCCCGUAAUUGAAAUGAAUACACUCUAAAUCCUUUAACGAGGAUCAAUUGGAGGGCAAGUCUGGUGCCAGCAGCCGCGGUAAUUCCAGCUCCAAUAGCGUAUACUAAAGCUGCUGCGGUUAAAAAGCUCGUAGUUGGAUCUCAGUUCCAGACGAGUAGCGCAUCUACCCGAUGCGACGGCUCGGACUGAACAUCAUGCCGGUCCUUUCUUGGUGCACUUCAUUGUGUGCCUCGAGAAGGCCGGUGCUUUUACUUUGAAAUAAUUAGAGUGCUCAACGCAGGCGAGUCGCCUGAAUAAACUUGCAUGGAAUAAUAGAACAAGACCUCGUUUCUGUUCUGUUGGUUUUUGGAAUACGAGGUAAUGAUUAAGAGGGACAGACGGGGGCAUUCGUAUUGCGGCGCUAGAGGUGAAAUUCUUGGACCGUCGCAAGACGAACUACUGCGAAAGCAUUUGCCAAGAAUGUUUUCUUUGAUCAAGAACGAAAGUCAGAGGUUAGAAGGCGAUCAGAUACCGCCCUAGUUCUGACCAUAAACGAUGCCAACCAGCGAUCCGCCUGAGUUACUCAAACGACUCGGCGGGCAGCUUCCGGGAAACCAAAGUGUUUGGGUUCCGGGGGAAGUAUGGUUGCAAAGCUAAAACUUAAAGGAAUUGACGGAAGGGCACCACCAGGAGUGGAGCCUGCGGCUUAAUUUGACUCAACACGGGAAAACUUACCCGGCCCGGACACUGGGAGGAUUGACAGAUUGAGAGCUCUUUCUUGAUUCGGUGGAUGGUGGGGCAUGGCCGUUCUUAGUUGGUGGAGCGAUUUGUCUGGUUAAUUCCGAUAACGAACGAGACUCUAGCCUAUUAAAUAGGUGCGGGGUUCCCAGCACCUUACAACCUUCUUAGAGGGACAAGCGGCUCCUAGCCGCACGAAACAGAGCAAUAACAGGUCUGUGAUGCCCUUAGAUGUCCAGGGCCGCACGCGCGCUACGCUGAAGGAACCAGCGUGUCUUUAUCCCUGUCUGAAAAGAUUGGGUAACCCGUGGAACUUCUUUCGUGAUUGGGAUAGGGGCUUGCAAUUGUUCCCCUUGAACGAGGAAUUCCCAGUAAGCGCGAGUCAUAAGCUCGCGUUGAUUACGUCCCUGCCCUUUGUACACACCGCCCAUCGCUACUACCGAUUGAAUGAUUUAGUGAGGUCUUCGGACCGAUGUCCGGCGCGGCCUUUCGGUUGCGCCUGUCUGUUGGAAAGAUGACCAAACUUGAUCAUUUAGAGGAAGUAAAAGUCGUAACAAGGUUUCCGUAGGUGAACCUGCGGAAGGAUCAUUA